GCAGUUUCAGAACAAGUCACACGGCAGGAAUCUGCGAAACAUCGGCCUGGUGAUUCUUGGAGCUGCAUUCAGAUUGGCCUGGAGGCUUGGCCGGCACUUUCUUAGCUGCUUGGUUUAACCAGUGUUUAUCUGGGGGCUAGUAGUUAAGCUUGGGUAAUUCGUUAGCUCCUAAUCUCACUGCAGAUUUAAACAGCUAGCUCCACUGCGUAUGUGGAGUAUGGAAUGUUCCAGAAAUUCAGAGAGAAAUAAAUUCGUUUCCUUUUUUAUUCGUUUCUAGUUAAGGAUAUGAUCUGUGUAGCGUAAAGAUGAGCAAUAUAGUUACCACAUACAGUGUAU
Molecule: long non-coding RNA, 336 nt
Filed under: Panicum hallii
Lineage: Eukaryota; Viridiplantae; Streptophyta; Magnoliopsida; Poales; Poaceae
Description: long non-coding RNA (PHAL_LNC000288)
Source: RNAcentral